GAUGAACGCUAGCUACAGGCUUAACACAUGCAAGUCGCGGGGCAGCAUGGGGGUUGCUUGCAAUCCCCGAUGGCGACCGGCGCACGGGUGAGUAACGCGUAUUCAACCUGCCCUUCACCACGGGAUAACCCGGCGAAAGUCGGACUAAUACCGUAUGUUGUCCAUUGACGGCCUCCGAUUUGGACGAAAGGCUUGGCGGUGAGGGAUGGGGAUGCGUCCGAUUAGCCAGACGGCGGGGUAACGGCCCACCGUGGCUACGAUCGGUAGGGGUUCUGAGAGGAAGGUCCCCCACACUGGAACUGAGACACGGUCCAGACUCCUACGGGAGGCAGCAGUGAGGAAUAUUGGUCAAUGGGCGUAAGCCUGAACCAGCCAAGUAGCGUGCAGGAGGACGGCCCUAUGGGUUGUAAACUGCUUUUAUGCGGGGAUAAAGUGGCCCACGUGUGGGCUUUUGCAGGUACCGCAUGAAUAAGGACCGGCUAAUUCCGUG
Molecule: ribosomal RNA, 490 nt
Filed under: uncultured bacterium
Lineage: Bacteria
Description: partial 16S ribosomal RNA
Rfam family: Bacterial small subunit ribosomal RNA
Source: RNAcentral